GCUUGUCUCAAAGAUUAAGCCAUGCAUGUCUCAGUAUAAGCUUCUAUACGGUGAAACUGCGAAUGGCUCAUUAAAACAGUUACAGUUCAUUUGAUGGUUACUCCUUACAUGGAUAACUGUGGUAAUUCUAGAGCUAAUACAUGCGUAAAAUCCCGACUCUCGCGGGGAGGGAUGUAUUUAUUAGAUAAAAAACCAAUGCGGGGCAACCCGGUUUUGUGGUGAAUCAUAGUAACUUUUCGGAUCGCAUAGCUUCACGCUGGCGAUAGUUCAUUCAAAUUUCUGCCCUAUCAGCUUUCGACGGUAGUGUAGUGGACUACCGUGGCGUUAACGGGUGACGGAGAAUUAGGGUUCGAUUCCGGAGAGGGAGCCUGAGAAACGGCUACCACAUCCAAGGAAGGCAGCAGG
Molecule: ribosomal RNA, 405 nt
Filed under: uncultured Thecofilosea
Lineage: Eukaryota; Cercozoa; Thecofilosea
Description: partial small subunit ribosomal RNA
Rfam family: Eukaryotic small subunit ribosomal RNA
Source: RNAcentral